GAUGAACGCUGGCGGCGUGCCUAAUACAUGCAAGUCGAGCGAACGGACGAGAAGCUUGCUUUUCUAAUGUUAGCGGCGGACGGGUGAGUAACACGUGGAUAACCUACCUAUAAGACUGGGAUAACUUCGGGAAACCGGAGCUAAUACCGGAUAAUAUUUUGAACCGCAUGGUUCAAAAGUGAAAGACGGUCUUGCUGUCACUUAUAGAUGGAUCCGCGCUGCAUUAGCUAGCUGGUAAGGUAACGGCUUACCAAGGCAACGAUGCAUAGCCGACCUGAGAGGGUGAUCGGCCACACUGGAACUGAGACACGGUCCAGACUCCUACGGGAGGCAGCAGUAGGGAAUCUUCCGCAAUGGGCGAAAGCCUGACGGAGCAACGCCGCGUGAGUGAUGAAGGUCUUCGGAUCGUAAAACUCUGUUAUUAGGGAAGAACAUAUGUGUAAGUAACUGUGCACAUCUUGACGGUACCUAAUCAGAAAGCCACGGCUAACUACGUG
RNAcentral lists this ribosomal RNA (497 nucleotides) under uncultured bacterium. Its description in RNAcentral is "partial 16S ribosomal RNA". It matches the Rfam family "Bacterial small subunit ribosomal RNA", at positions 28 to 507 of the family's 1533-position model. The record is from RNAcentral.